GACGAACGCUGGCGGCGUGCUUAACACAUGCAAGUCGAACGGAAAGGCCCUGCUUUUGUGGGGUGCUCGAGUGGCGAACGGGUGAGUAACACGUGAGUAACCUGCCCUUUACUUUGGGAUAACUUCAGGAAACUGGGGCUAAUACCUGAUAGGAGCUCCUGCUGCAUGGUGGGUGUUGGAACGUUUCGGCGGUUGGGGAUGGACUCGCGGCUUAUCAGCUUGUUGGUGGGGUAGUGGCUUACCAAGGCUUUGACGGGUAGCCGGCCUGAGAGGGUGACCGGCCACAAUGGGACGGAGAUACGGCCCAGACUCCUACGGGAGGCAGCAGUGGGGAAUAUUGCACAAUGGGCGGAAGCCUGAUGCAGCAACGCCGCGUGCGGGAUGACGGCCUUCGGGUUGUAAACCGCUUUCGCCUGUGACGAAGCGUGAGUGACGGUAAUGGGUAAAGAAGCACCGGCUAACUACGUG
Molecule: ribosomal RNA, 468 nt
Filed under: uncultured bacterium
Lineage: Bacteria
Description: partial 16S ribosomal RNA
Rfam family: Bacterial small subunit ribosomal RNA
Source: RNAcentral